RNAcentral lists this ribosomal RNA (301 nucleotides) under uncultured bacterium. RNAcentral's name for it is "partial 16S ribosomal RNA". It matches the Rfam family "Bacterial small subunit ribosomal RNA", at positions 509 to 807 of the family's 1533-position model. The record is from RNAcentral.
CAGCAGCCGCGGGAAUACGAAGGGGGCUAGCGUUGCUCGGAAUUACUGGGCGUAAAGGGAGCGUAGGCGGACAUUUAAGUCAGGGGUGAAAUCCCAGAGCUCAACUCUGGAACUGCCUUUGAUACUGGGUGUCUUGAGUGUGAUAGAGGUAUGUGGAACUCCGAGUGUAGAGGUGAAAUUCGUAGAUAUUCGGAAGAACACCAGUGGCGAAGGCGACAUACUGGAUCAUUACUGACGCUGAGGCUCGAAAGCGUGGGGAGCAAACAGGAUUAGAGACCCCCGUAGUCCCUGUCUCUUAUAC